ACAAUUUACACAUACAAUAAAAAUACAGGGAGAAAAAAAAAAUGCAACCAGUAUAUUUACAUUUCCUGUGACAGUUAGUGCUCACAGGUCUGCACUGUGGAUGGAGGAAG
Stegastes partitus (bicolor damselfish) is the source of this 110-nucleotide long non-coding RNA. RefSeq lists it as uncharacterized. The transcript has 3 exons. The record is from RefSeq and is a predicted model, not a curated record. NCBI's taxonomy places the organism in Eukaryota, Metazoa, Chordata, Actinopteri, Pomacentridae.